GUAAUCCAAAAUAGUUUUUAAUUCAAACUCGAUCACUAAAAUCAAUGUAUAAUAGGAAAAGGAUUAGUGUAUUAUAAAUACAUCCGUUUGUUUUCUAUUUUUCAUCACUUACUCAAUCUAUCAAAUUCUCAUCAUAGUAUUGCCGAGAAUCACCAUGGCGCUUAGGAACAUCAUCUUCUUUACAAUCUUCUUGAUUGCUUCCUUAAUUUCUCUGCUAACUCCGUUCACAGCAUCUCAAAAUGUUAAUGUCUUAGCUAUCUUUGCCUUUGGGGAUUCAACCAUUGCUCCAGGUAACAACAACCACAUCCAAACGUUAUUUCGUAGUGACCACCCACCUUAUGGCAUAGACUUCCCCAGCCAAGUCCCCGCUAGAAGGUUUUGCGAUGGAAAAUUAGUUAAGAGACUUUUUGAUUCUUCCUUGGGCAUCAAGGAACUCUGGUCGGCUUACUUGGACGAUUCAGUGAUUGACACCGACUUACUUUUAGGCGUUAGCUUUGCAUGGGCCGGUUUAGGUUGGGACCCGCAACCAGUAGUUAUAACAUAAGCUUUGGAUCUUCCAACUCAGUUGAAUAACUUUUACAAAACAUUACAAAGUAUGGAGGGUGUUGUUGGACAAGAAGAGGUUCGCAAGAUUGUUGAAAACGCUUUGUUUUUAAUCAGUAUUGGAAGCAAUGAUAUGUUGUUCAACUAUUACGAUAUACCUACGAGGGCACUUGACUACUCACUUCCAGGUUACCACCAAAUGCAGCUCCAAACCAUGUAUGGUUUUAUUGAGAAUCUUUAUAAAACAGGAGCACGGAGGAUUGCAGUGGCUAGUCUUCCGCCAAUUGGCUGCAUACCUGCCCAAGUGACAAUAGGCAGCGUCCUACCAAUUAGCACAAACUUUCUCUAACGUUCAUGUGUCGACAAUCAGAACAUGGACUCUCAUGCUCAUAAUCAACAACUAGAAGCCCUUACCUCAAGUUGACUCCAAGAUUCCAAGAUCGUAUAUGCCGAUAUUUACAGUCCCAUCAUGGACAUAAUACAGAACCCAAAUAACUAUGGUUUCGAUGUGACACUUGAAGCAUGAUGUGGGACAGGGCUUGCGGAGGCAGGUCCAUUAUGCAAUCAACUUGCCCCAACAUGCCCAGAUGCAUCUGAAUAUAUUUUCUUUGAUUCAGUACACCUUACAGAAGCAGCAUAUCGGGCAAUUGCCGAUGUAACCAGAAAGAAUUUGUUUCAGCGACGAGCGGUAGGGCCAUAGUCUAAAGAAUUGGGGAGUGAUUUGAACUCAAUUUAAUUAUUAUUAUCGAAU
Long non-coding RNA from Carya illinoinensis, 1294 nucleotides. RefSeq lists it as uncharacterized. The record is from RefSeq and is a predicted model, not a curated record. NCBI's taxonomy places the organism in Eukaryota, Viridiplantae, Streptophyta, Magnoliopsida, Fagales, Juglandaceae. The transcript has 3 exons.